This 254-nucleotide ribosomal RNA is filed under the name uncultured bacterium. RNAcentral describes it as "partial 16S ribosomal RNA". It matches the Rfam family "Bacterial small subunit ribosomal RNA", at positions 524 to 776 of the family's 1533-position model. The record is from RNAcentral.
UACGUAGGGUGCAAGCGUUAAUCGGAAUUACUGGGCGUAAAGCGUGCGCAGGCGGUUAUGUAAGACAGUUGUGAAAUCCCCGGGCUCAACCCUGGGAACUGCAUCUGUGACUGCAUAGCUAGAGUACGGUAGAGGGGGAUGGAAUUCCGCGUGUAGCAGUGAAAUGCGUAGAUAUGCGGAGGAACACCGAUGGCGAAGGCAAUCCCCUGGACCUGUACUGACGCUCAUGCACGAAAGCGUGGGGAGCAAACAGG